GACGAACCGUGCGAACGUUGUUCGGAAUCACUGGGCUUAAAGGGCGCGUAGGCGGCUGCGUAAGUCUCGGGUGAAAUCUUUCGGCUCAACCGGAAACGUGCCUGGGAUACUGCGCAGCUAGAGAGAGGUAGGGGCGGACGGAACUUCCGGUGGAGCGGUGAAAUGCGUUGAUAUCGGAAGGAACGCCGGUGGCGAAAGCGGUCCGCUGGACCUCUACUGACGCUGAGGCGCGAAAGCCAGGGGAGCAAACGGG
RNAcentral lists this ribosomal RNA (253 nucleotides) under uncultured bacterium. RNAcentral's name for it is "partial 16S ribosomal RNA". It matches the Rfam family "Bacterial small subunit ribosomal RNA", at positions 524 to 776 of the family's 1533-position model. The record is from RNAcentral.